RNAcentral lists this ribosomal RNA (497 nucleotides) under uncultured bacterium. Its description in RNAcentral is "partial 16S ribosomal RNA". It matches the Rfam family "Bacterial small subunit ribosomal RNA", at positions 28 to 507 of the family's 1533-position model. The record is from RNAcentral.
GAUGAACGCUGGCGGCGUGCCUAAUACAUGCAAGUCGAGCGAACAGAUGAGGAGCUUGCUCCUCUGACGUUAGCGGCGGACGGGUGAGUAACACGUGGAUAACCUACCUAUAAGACUGGGAUAACUUCGGGAAACCGGAGCUAAUACCGGAUAAUAUAUUGAACCGCAUGGUUCAAUAGUGAAAGACGGUUUUGCUGUCACUUAUAGAUGGAUCCGCGCCGCAUUAGCUAGUUGGUAAGGUAACGGCUUACCAAGGCAACGAUGCGUAGCCGACCUGAGAGGGUGAUCGGCCACACUGGAACUGAGACACGGUCCAGACUCCUACGGGAGGCAGCAGUAGGGAAUCUUCCGCAAUGGGCGAAAGCCUGACGGAGCAACGCCGCGUGAGUGAUGAAGGUCUUCGGAUCGCAAAACUCUGUUAUUAGGAAAGAACAAAUGUGUAAGUAACUAUGCACGUCUUGACGGUACCUAAUCAGAAAGCCACGGCUAACUACGUG